This 301-nucleotide ribosomal RNA is filed under the name uncultured bacterium. RNAcentral's name for it is "partial 16S ribosomal RNA". It matches the Rfam family "Bacterial small subunit ribosomal RNA", at positions 509 to 807 of the family's 1533-position model. The record is from RNAcentral.
CAGUAGCCACGGUAAUACGGAGGGAGCUAGCGUUGUUCGGAAUUACUGGGCGUAAAGCGCGCGUAGGCGGUUACUCAAGUCAGAGGUGAAAGCCCGGGGCUCAACCCCGGAACUGCCUUUGAAACUAGGUGACUAGAAUCUUGGAGAGGUCAGUGGAAUUCCGAGUGUAGAGGUGAAAUUCGUAGAUAUUCGGAAGAACACCAGUGGCGAAGGCGACUGACUGGACAAGUAUUGACGCUGAGGUGCGAAAGCGUGGGGAGCAAACAGGAUUAGAGACCCCAGUAGUCCCUGUCUCUUAUAC